GGGCCGCUAGCUCAAUGGUAGAGCAGGGGCCUUUUAAGCCCUUGGUUAGAGGUUCGAGUCCUCUGUGGCUCA
Molecule: transfer RNA, 72 nt
Filed under: Chloroflexota bacterium
Lineage: Bacteria; Bacillati; Chloroflexota
Description: Chloroflexi bacterium (groundwater metagenome) tRNA-Lys
Rfam family: tRNA
About the family: Transfer RNA (tRNA) molecules are approximately 80 nucleotides in length. Their secondary structure includes four short double-helical elements and three loops (D, anti-codon, and T loops).
Source: RNAcentral